Non-coding RNA from Phrynosoma platyrhinos (Desert horned lizard), 72 nucleotides. The record is from the annotation of a GenBank genome assembly. NCBI's taxonomy places the organism in Eukaryota, Metazoa, Chordata, Lepidosauria, Squamata, Phrynosomatidae.
GCUAGUGUGGUGUAGUGGUUUCAGCAUUAGACUAGGGCUCUGAAGACCAGGGUUCAAUUCCCUGCUUAGUCA